This 26-nucleotide non-coding RNA is filed under the name Cricetulus griseus (Chinese hamster). Lineage: Eukaryota; Metazoa; Chordata; Mammalia; Rodentia; Cricetidae. The record is from RNAcentral.
CAGAUGGUGUGGGGCUGAGGGGGACU